CCUCGGGCGGCAGCAGUGGGGGAUAUUGCACAAUGGGGGAAACCCUGAUGCAGCGACGCCGCGUGUGGGAAGACGGUCCUCUUGAUUGUAAACCACUGUCCCCAGGGACGUAAAUGACGGUACCUGGGGAGGAAGCUCCGGCUAACUACGUGCCAGCGGCCGAGGUUAUACGUAGGGAGCGAGCGUUGUCCGGAGUUACUGGGUGUAAGGGGAGCGUAGGCGGGGAUGCAAGUUGGGUGUCAAAACUACCGGCUCAACUGGUAGUCGCACUCAAAACUGCAGCUCUUGAGUGAAGUAGAGGCAGGCGGAAUUCCUAGUGUAGCGGUGAAAUGCGUAGAUAUUAGGAGGAACACCAGUGGCGAAGGCGGCCUGCUGGGCUUUUACUGACGCUGAGGCUCGAAAGUGUGGGGAGCAAACAGGAUUAGAUACCCCAGUAGUC
Molecule: ribosomal RNA, 439 nt
Filed under: uncultured bacterium
Lineage: Bacteria
Description: partial 16S ribosomal RNA
Rfam family: Bacterial small subunit ribosomal RNA
Source: RNAcentral